GAAAUUCAUUGUCAUAAAACGAAAUUUCCUUUUGCAUUAGGAUUGUCCAAAAAUAAGAAAACUUUCUCUGAAAGAAAAAUAGUAACCUAAAGUAUUAAAUUAAGUACAUUAUAUGGACUUAAAAAUAUACUUUUGUGAUAGGCAUUAGACUAUUUGAUACCUUUUUAAAAUUUUAUUUAUUUAAGGAUAACCUUAAAUUGGCUUUUAAAGCAAUAAAAAUACAGGAUUAGUAGUAUCUCGUAUAUUUUUUUAUAGUAAAAAAUUUGUUGAAUAGAGCAUAAUUCUUUGAGUCUAAUAAAACGUACUUUAGAUUUAUAAUGGCUAGCGUGAGUAAAUUAUUUCAUAAUAUUUUAUUUAAAACUCGACAAUUUUUAUUCUACUGUUUAUUAAAAACAUUACAAUAAUUCAUUUAUUGCAACUUCCUGCCCAAUGAUAAAUUUUUAAUGGCCGCAGUAACCUGACUGUGCUAAGGUAGCAUAAUCACUUGUUUAAUAAAUUUGAACUGGAAUGAAAGGAAAAAAGUAAUAUUAAUUGUUAACUAAAAUAAAUUUAAAUCAACCUUAGAGUGCAAAUACUCUAACUAAUCUUAUAAACGAGAAGACCCUGGAAAUUUACAUUAUUUUAUUGGGAUAAUUCAAUUACAUAAAUUUGAUAACCAAAUUUAUUAAAUAAAAGAAAUUACUCCAGGGAUAACAGCACAAUGAUUGUUAAGAGACCUAAUCUAAGUGAUUAAUUGUGACCUCGAUGUUGAAUCAUUAUACAAUAAAAUCCGCAGAAGGAUUUUAUUUCCGUCUGUUCGACGUAAAAUUAUUACGUGAUUUGAGUUUAGACCGUUGAAAGACAGGUCGGAUUCUCUUUUAAGGGUUUAUAAGUAAACGUCAAAUUUAGUACGAAAGGAAUAAUUUGUUAAAUAUCAUAUUUUAAAUGAAUUAUUAUUUUUGCUUAUGUGAUUUUUUCUAACAGCUGUUAGCUUCUAUUAUAUCAUCUU
This 988-nucleotide ribosomal RNA is filed under the name Trichuris discolor. RNAcentral describes it as "large subunit ribosomal RNA". The stretch from base 586 to 862 matches the Rfam family "Archaeal large subunit ribosomal RNA", at positions 2150 to 2716 of the family's 2987-position model. The record is from RNAcentral. Lineage: Eukaryota; Metazoa; Nematoda; Enoplea; Trichinellida; Trichuridae.